CCUACGGGAGGCAGCAGUGAGGAAUAUUGGUCAAUGGGCGAGAGCCUGAACCAGCCAAGUCGCGUGAGGGAGUACUGCCCUAUGGGUUGUAAACCUCUUUUGUCGGGGAGCAAAAGCCGGACGUGUCCGGCUGUGAGAGUACCCGAAGAAAAAGCAUCGGCUAACUCCGUGCCAGCAGCCGCGGUAAUACGGAGGAUGCGAACGUUAUCCGGAUUUAUUGGGUUUAAAGGGUGCGCAGGCGGAUUUUUAAGUCAGCGGUAAAAUCGUGGGGCUCAACCCCAUCCAGCCGUUGAAACUGGGGAUCUAGAGUGUGCGAGAGGUAUGCGGAAUGCGUGGUGUAGCGGUGAAAUGCAUAGAUAUCACGCAGAACCCCGAUUGCGAAGGCAGCAUACCGGUGCACAACUGACGCUCAGGCACGAAAGCGUGGGUAUCGAACAGGAUUAGAUACCCGGGUAGUC
This 458-nucleotide ribosomal RNA is filed under the name uncultured bacterium. RNAcentral describes it as "partial 16S ribosomal RNA". It matches the Rfam family "Bacterial small subunit ribosomal RNA", at positions 338 to 795 of the family's 1533-position model. The record is from RNAcentral.